GCAAAAUAGGCCCUGCUUGUCUUUGUCAAAUUUUACAAGCAUCACUCGAUCAGUGAGCAUAGCAUAAAGAAAUGUUGCAGCCAUGCUAAUCAUUUGAUUCCCCAAACCAUUAGCAGGUGUCCAGAUAAGGUACUUACACAAUGUAGCUGCAGCACCUUUGUUCUUUGAGCGUACAAUUUUAAAUUUAGAGACAAAAUAAUCUUACUCCAAAGUAAAGCACUAAAACAUAUUUAAGUUAAUAACUAAUAUGUAUGUCGAUUGAUUGAUAGCCAAAUCAACAAAAGAAAAAAUUGUAUAGUCAUUAAACAAUUACAAGUAAAUUUGUUUUGAAAGUUGAUGUAAAAUUUUUUAAUGAUUUUUUAGAUUAACAAUUAUAAAAAAUCAAUCGAAUAUUGAAAUGUAUGAUUUUCAUAAAUAAUAAAUAAGUAAUAAAUAAGUAAUGUGUAUAUUUUUUCACCGUGAGAUUUUUUUCCAGUGUAUUUUGAUUUAUUUGAAAAGGUAAAAAACAGUCAUUUUUUUACCGUGAGACUUUCAUAUUAGUAAAUAUUAAUUCCUUUCACAUAUCAUAAAAUGAUUAAUUCGUUUUAUAUAUUGAGUACAUCAUAAUUUCAUGAUUAAGAAUAUGAAUCAAUUCAAGUUAUAACAAUUGUACAUUACUUAAUAGACAUAGUUCUUUUUUUGUACUACAAAUGAAUCAUCUCCUUAAUAUGACUAUAGUUAUGAAUACAUAAUCGGUCCAACAUAAUAUAAAUCUUGUUAAUUGUAAUUGGGCACUAUUUGUCUGGGUGCUGCAGGAAUUUGUUGAAUGAAUAACCAUGAGCUUUAAGGGCUUUACACAGGUGAAAGAUUGACCAAAAUGAUACAAUUGGAACUACAUGGAACCGUUAACGGCCGCCAGCUUCACACCAAACCUUAAAUCCUUGCACUCCCUCAAAUUGGGGAAAGAAGAAACGAUAUCAUUCAUGGGCUCUCCGUUGCAGUAAUGCUUGGGAGGCAUAUGAAAGCAAGGCUCUGUUGAGAAAUCCCGUUCACAGCGUGGAAAAUCGCCGCUAUGGUUACCGACUAGCCUGUAGAGAAGCCAUGGCUUUAAAUUUCCCAAUCCUUGAGCAACGUAGCCAAAUGUUGAGAGAGAGGUAGUCACCAACACGUCUGAUAAACUUAACAGAUACAUAUCCGUCCAUGCUUUUAGGUUAUGCCCAUUAUCAUUAAACUUUUGCUUCCCUUCAUGACUUGGCUGAUAAACUUCUAUGACUUCCCCACUAACUGUUGGUUUCUUCAGAUACAUACUCCGUAAAUUAUCCCCGUACUCUUUAUGUAAAGAUGCCACAAGAACUGCUUUUACAGUAGUCAUGUUUUUUCCAGCAGAAGACACUGAAGUUUUCAAAUCCACUUCUGGCAGUAUCUUUUGCUGUAAUGUGCAGCUUAAAACUAGAUUCAUGAUUGCUUGCUUUGGAGUAGUAGCAGCAUUAAAUACUCUUAUCUGUAAGCCUAUCCGUUCACUUGCACUGGCCAAGUGUGCCUGAUAGUAACUGCUGAUUAGUUCCCAUGCAUCGUUGGAAGGGUGAAACAGGUAGCGACCCAAAUGGUGGAAAAUAAUGUCUCUCUCUGGGAACAUGUUGGCAAUCUCCAAGUUGAAAAAUGGGUUCAUGAACAUAGAUGGGACAUAGUAUUGAUCAGACCGCAGAAUCAACAUAGGGAUCUUCCGGAGAAGAUCUUGACUAUGAUCACAGUGAAAAUAUUUCUCAGGGUUUUCGAAGCUGAAUUGUAGAUUAAUAAACAGAACAGAUGGUAAACCCUUCUUUGAAUUGCUAGCCCUAUCCUUGUCUAGCAUGGUCUGAUAUGUUUCGGUAUUGUGUUCAUUCCAAGAACUAAAGGGGGACUUCUGCGGCAAUAUCCAAGUUGAAUUGAGAAAUGGCUCGCAAAAUAGGCCAUGCUUGUCUUUAUUAAAUUUUACAAGCAGCACUCGAUCAGUGAGGAUGGCAUAAAGAAAUGUUGCAGCUAUGCUAAUCAUUUGAUUCCCCAAACCAUUGGCAGUAUUCCAGAUAAUGUACUUACAUUUGGUAGCAGCACCAUUGUUCUUGGAGCUUACAAUCUUUUUCAUGCUUUUGUCGUAAUCUCUAGUAUUUGGUCCGCACCUUCUAUGAAUUUCUUCGUAUUUACGUAGUUUAGAUAUCAAAUAUGGAGAAGGUUUAUGAGGAGAAGCUUUGCGGUACAAAUGGGACUGCAUCCUACUUUUGCAUGAUGCUUCAUCAAAUCCAGAAGUUAACAAUCCCCCAAGCAGUUUGUCAUUGUCAUCAAGAUUAACAGGUUCUGUGGUUGACACAUUUGUUGAACUUGCCAGUGAAGCGUUUUUCGAGCCUGCGGAUUUAAUAAAAGAAGAUAUCAUAGAUUAGUUAGCAAGUACAGGAAGAAAUGACCUAAAGAGGUACUCUACAGUUUUGAGUUUCUGUUCAUGGUAUCGAACGUGUAUGGGUGUUAUGUUACAAUUCAAUUUGUGAGGAAAUUAUAUUAAUCAAAGGAUCAAAUGCUAAUAACUAACAACCAUAUGAGUGCUUUUUAAAAGAGAUAUGAUAAAUGUACACUUCUUACAAUCAUUUAUAUAUACAGUACUAAUUUAUGUGUUUAUUUUUUUUAUCAUAUCAUUUAUUAUAUUUUAAUUUUUUUUUCUCACACUUUUGUCUCCUCUCUGUUUGUUAUAAGAUUUGUUAUGCAAGUAUAUAUCAUUUAUCAUAUGUUAAAAGAGUCAUCAAUCACACUCACUAUAUAAAUGCAGAAAACAACUUUUUCAUGACUGAAAAAUAAUUGAUCUUGAAUAAACUAUUGGGCAAUUUAAUUAUAGCCCUUAAACUUAUAAUUGUCGAUCAAAUUGUUCAUUGAAAUUUAAAAAAAAAGACAAAUGUUAAUCAAAAAGAAAUUUUUGAUUGAGAUGUGCAAAAAAAAAUAUUUUUUUAUAAUUUUUACAAUAAAUAUUUUUUUCUUUAAUAUAUUUUCUCAACAAAUAUCCAAAGGACAUUAAUUACCAAUAUUUAAAAAAAAAAGAAAAAUAAAUCAUAAAAGUGUAAAUCAUUAAUCAACUUAAUUACUCUAUUUAUUAUUAAUUGAUGUCAUUUAACAUAGACAACAAGAUAUGAUUGUCAUAUUAAAAACUUAACUGACAACUAAUUUUGCUUACAUCCAAAGUUGUCACAUCCAGUAUGUAUGAAAAUCAUAAAAAAAAAGGUUGUUGGAAUAAUAAGAUUUAAUUAUUAUUUUAAUCCCUAAAUUUGGAGAAGUCUAUUUUUUAAUUCAUGAAAUUUUAAAAUAUUUUUUUAGUACUUAGAAUUUUGAUAAUAUGCUUUUUUUAGUUCUUGACACAUUAAAUUGAUACUUUAUGAUGAUUUUUAACAUUGUGUGGCAUUUUUAAGUACUAUGAAAGUUUUAAAAUGUAAAUUCAAGCAAUUAAAAAAUAAAAAUUAAUUUAUGAAAACUAAAAAUUGUCACAAAUUCAAGCAUUUUGUGGAUAUUAAUUUAUUAUACUAGAGACUAAAAAGAGUAAUUUGUCAAAAUUCAAGAACAAAAAAAAAAUUUAGGUACUAAAAGAAGCACACAUCUCAAAUUCAAAAACUAAAACAAUAAUUAAACCUAUUUAAAACUAAUUUUGAUAUCAAAGAUUAAUUUUUAUACUUAUUUUAAAAUUUGUUAAAAUUAAUUUGAGAAAAAAAUGAUUUGAUUUUUCAAAUUAAGUCAUAAUAAUGGUUCAUUUUGAAUUUUGUAUUUUAAAAUUGUCGUAAAAGUGUAAAAAAAUUACCACAAAAUACUAAAAAUUGAUAUAAAAUGUCAAUUAAGGACUAAAAAAUAAUUUUUUAAAAAUCAGUAACUAAAAACUCACACAUCCUAAUUUCAGGACUAAACGAAUACUAAUUAAUUUUUCUCUCUACUUGUUUGUUUUUCUUGCCUCAAUAAUUUUUUUAUUAAAUGUGGUAGAAAAGGCUAAGUGACACUUUAUUAUUAAUUAUAUAUGUUUAACACAACUUGAUUUUAAGUGUUAGUAUGAUAGUAUUUUCGCAAAAUGUGAGUCAAAGUACUAAUGAAAAUAUUUGGACAAAAAAAAACAAGGAUGUAAGGAAGGUUUUUUUUUAUUCUACUAAUAUUUUGAUGUUUUUUAUCAUGUGACGUGUCAACCACAUAUACGUGUGUCUAAUUAUUGUCAUUCAUAUGCUCAAUAUGUCAUUUCAUUCUUUUAACGGUCUUGAUUUAAUAAGGGAAAAACUAAGAUGAAUAAUAAUUUACUAUUGAAAAUUGGUUCGCGAUGUUUUUUUUUUAAAAAAAAAUUAACGAGUAAUUAAUUUGAUUACUCUGAAAAAAGGACUAAUUAAUUUGACUCACUAUUAAUUUACAAUUUAACGAAUUAUAUAAAUUAAUUAAUGUAUAAUAUGACUAAUCAUUUUAGUAUUUUAGAAACAAGUUUGAGCUACCAUUAAUGGGACUAGAAUGGUAAAAAAACGGAAUAAAUAAAUUUUGGAAACAAAAAUAAGGAGAAAAUAGCAGAAUGACACAUACCAGCAUAUGCUGCUGUGAUAUUCUCAGAUCUUCCUUCAGUAGCGAAAUUAUUUUGGGAUCUCUCUUGCAGGUCCUUAACUCCACCUAGUUCAAUUAAUUAAGAAACAAAUUGACACGGCAAUAAUGGAAGUUUUGAAUGGAAAUCAGUAAGAAAAACGCAUGCGUAUAACGUGUUAUAUAUAUUUUGGCUUGUUCCUCCCAAUUCAAAUCCAUGAGUUGUAAAGUUUGCCCCACCAUUCAGCAACUCAGCAGUUACGUUCCGAUCUGUUCCUCUUUCUACUUUGCCUUCUGAAAUGGAAGGAAUCAUCAGUUAGAAAAACUCAUGCCUAUAUACUAUUCGUAAUCGUAUAGAAUUAAAGUAUAUCAUGAAUACAAUGCCCACCUAUUCCUGAUGCAGUACUAUUCAUAGUUCUAGCUCUUUCUUCUACAGUGCUACCGUUUUGAAUAUUGCCCGGCAACACCUUAACUUUGCCAAGUCCAUUAUUACGGAAGUAGAGUGAGUUUUAGUCCAGAACAAAAGAAUACAACAGUUAUAUAAACGAAAAAGAAAAACUGUUACGUACCACCGACACGGUAUCAUUGUGUCUUGUUCUUAAGUGAGUCUCAAUCUCAUCAUCCGAUGUAGUAUUGUGGACUCUUCCUCCCAACGGAAAACCAUUGUUUGUAACGUUUUGAGCCGAUGAUUCUGUUAACCCCUCAUAAAAAAUAGCGAAACUUGAGUUUCGAUAGAUUGAAGAAACUAUGAAAGCAACAGGAAAUGAUAUGAAAAGUACAACAAAGAAUAAUGUUGUAAAUCUCUUGGGAUUAAUCUCCAUCUUUUCUGCUGUGGCUUGAAAGAUUUCCAUGAUUAGCUAGCUAGCUAUUACGUCAGUAGUGAUCAAAUUAUCGUUUUAAAACUGCGAAAACAAUAUUCAAGGGAAAGGGAAAUUAAGCAAAGGGUACAAGACAAGAAGUUGCAGGCCUAUCCCAUUAACUUUGUUUAUAUAUACUCAAUUUUCUUGUGACACUUUUUUAGUUUUUCUCUUAUUUUUUAGGCUAAUCAGUAAAGGGGUAAGGUGAAAGGAGUAAUAUCAUGUGGGCCAGCCCCUGAUGGUCCAGCCAUCAAGUGGGCCUUAUUACAAUGACGUUACCUUCUUUUUGUCCAAAGAACGUACACCAUGCAUGACGUUACUUAAAAGAUUAAUUAAUUAAUGAUCACAUGCAUACCAUUUUCUUAAUUAAUAUAUAAUUACUCGUAUUUUAUCACAUCUUUAUCUUUAUAUAAUUCAAGUCCAAAUUUAUAGUAAAUAGAUGCUUCUAAAUAUAUAAAUUAUAUUAUUAUAAUUAAAUUCAUAAUAAAUAAUUUUGAGACAAAAUGAUAAUAGUUCCUUUAUUUGUUGUGUACGGGAGUUAGUAAAUGGAGAAGCUAAGAUUGUUUAGCUUUUGUUGAUUUUGCUUAAAAUUAUAUGUGAGGAGAUACGGAUGAGAUAGUUUUGCAACUCAAAUCACCUAAUACCUCAAAAUUAUAAACAUAAAACACUUAAAUUAAAGAAUAAAUAGAUUAUCUCGCAUGUAUAAUUAUUUUUUUUCCCGAAUGUUCUCUCAAAAUUUUAUAAACUGUAUUAGUAAUGUUCUAUUUGUGUGUGGUGGGGGACCAGAUUUUAAACUACCUAUUAAAGCAUUUUUAAUAGGUAUGUUUACAUUUUGAUCUUUCAUGUAGGAUUUUAUUUUGUUAAGAUGUAUUGUUUGAACAAGAGUAUUGAUCUUUAUGGUAGAAAUCUGUUCUUCUAUAAAAAAAAAAAAGUAAGAUUAACAUGUGGAUCCAAAAAAAUAUUUUAAUAUUUCUUUUCAUAAAACUAUAAAAUAAUUAAUUAAUUUUAAUUAUUUUAAAAUAAAUUAUAAAUAAAUAUUAAAAUGUGAAUCUAUGGUUAGACUUAUAAAAAAAUAAUUUAAGAUUAUAAAAUUUAAUUUGGAAAAAAAAUUAAAAUAAUCUCUAAAAUAUAUGACAUUGAAUAUACCAAAAAAAAAAUCUUGUAUUAGAUAAUGACCUUAAAGUUAGUAGAUGUUUCCCGCAAAGCACUUGUCGGCAGAUUCCCCUUUCCAUGAUUUCUUGUCCAGUCUCGCGAAUGCCUAUUAUUCAGAAAUAAUUAGUCAAGAGGUCAAUUGCUUGAUUGGCCUCUGAAAAACCAUGCAUCCAACUAAUGGCCCCAUCAUUUGUGCAAAAUGGGAAUUUCUGUUAAGAAUGGAGAAGCACUUAUACCUUGGUAAACAACCUCUACAAAUGGCUGUUGAAUAAUCAGACUCGACAUUCAUGCAUGUGUAAAGCCAAACUAGUUAAGGCAUGAAAAAUAUACUCCAGAUCAACUCUGCUUAAGUUAUGGAACAAUCUCCUACUUUAGUUGAGAAUUUCUGAAUAAUUAAUAUCUAAUAAUAAUUCUUUCAAUUCGUAACCUAUUUGCUUGACACCUUUAUCUCAACACGCUACCACCCAAUCUGAUUGAGCGCUGGCUUCCACGAUAUAGCGUCAUUUGGACUUAUGGCUCUAAAGGGCCCAUGAAAAGGACGAAACAAUUUAAUAGCUUUGAGAAUAUUAAGUUUAUGGCAUAUGUAUGCAUGUGAAACCAAAUGAAUUUAUUUCCGCUUGUGGUUCUUAGCUUUGGAAUUGAAAUUAAAUCAAUUCAUUUCGUGAAGUCCACACGGCAUCAAAUGCAAACAAAGCAAAAUGUUACACAACCACGUGCGUAUAUUGGCAUUAUAAAAUUAAAGUUGGUAAGCAAGUGGGAGCAUAUGGCUCCAAACUUUGCCCAAAUUAACGUGUGGUGUAGAAUUGUGUACCAGAUUUAGGCGUCUACUAGUUCUCUCGAUUUAUCAAAAGAUAAACUAUUGUGGGGAACUUUCUAUUGUGAGAUUCAUCAUAAAUUCAGGAUCAAUUAAUGCAUUUUGUUGUUGUUGUUGUAUGAGGAAUGAGAAAUUUCGACCCUUAGAAGAAGACGAAUUGGUAUCAAGAACAGGAAGAAAAUACGAAGUUACAGAUCAUUGCAUCUUUUUAUGAAGUACGAAACAUUUGUGGAAUACCAAUAGAAUAUAAGUAUAACAUAAAGUCUCGAGAUAUCAUUAAACACGCAAUUGACAUAGCAUUAUUUUAACAACUUAAUUAGUGUUCAAGUUAUAAGUAUUUAAAUAUGUUAAAUAUUAAGAGAACUUUAUUAUACAUAACGAUUGUGUCUUAUUUGAAAAUGGUAGUCUCCAUCAGAAUUAAAAAAAAAAAAAAAAAGUCCCUACAUCGUAAUACAAAAUCAACAACAAAAUUUUUACAAAAAAUGAAAACAAUUACAGCAACUACGUACUGUUAACCAGCUUCAGACCAUAACAAUAAUCCUUGCACUCCCUCAAAUAGGGGAAAGAAGAAACAACAUCUUUGAUAGGUUUUCCGUUGCAGUAAUGCUUGGGAGGAACAUGAUAACAAGGCUCCGAUGAGAAAUCUCGUUCACAGGAUGGAAAAUGGGUGUCAUUGUUGACUAGCCUGUAAAGAAGCCACGGUUUCAAAUUCCCCAAUCCCUGAGCAACGUAGCCAAAAGUAGAGAGAGAGGUAGUCACUAACUCCUCAGAUAAACUUAUUAGAUACAUGUCUAUCCAAGCUUUUAGAUUAUGCUUAUUAUCAUUAAACUUUUGAUGCUCUUCGUGACUUGGCUGAUAAACUUCUAUGACUUCCCCACUAACUGUUGCUUUCUUCAGAUACAUACUCCGUAAAUUAUCUCCAUACUCUCUAUGUAAAGAUGCCACAAGAACUGCCUUUACACUAUGAUUUUUUCCGGCUGAAGUUUGCAAAUCCACUUGUGGCAGUAUCUUAUGCUUCAAGGUGCAGCUUAAAACUAGAUCCAUGACUGUUUGUUGUGGAGUAGAAACGGGACUAAAUACUCUAAUCUGUAAGCCUAUCCGUUUAUCUGCCUUGGCCAAGUGUUCCUGAUAGUAAUCGCUGAUCAGUUUCCAUGCCUCGUUUGAAGGGUGAAAAAGGUAACGCCCCAAACGGUGGAAAACUGUGUCUUUCUCUGGAAACAUUUUGGUAACCUCCUGGUUGAAAAAUGGGUUCAUGAACAGAGACGGCACAAAGUAUUGAUCAGACUGCAAAAUCAACAAAGGAACUUCCCGAAGAAGAUAUUGACUAUGGUCACAGUGAAAAAAUUUCUCAGGCUCACUGAGGGUGUGCUGUAGAUUAAUAAACAGAACUGAUGGUAAAUCAUCCUUUGAAUUGCUAGUCCUAUUCCUAUCCUUCUCUAGCAUGGUCUGAUAUGUUUCUAUAUGCUUUUCAUUCCAGAAAGGAGACUUCUCAGGCAAUACCCAAGUUGAAUUGAGAAACGGCUCGCAAAAUAGGCCCUGCUUGUCUUUGUCAAAUUUUACAAGCAUCACUCGAUCAGUGAGCAUAGCAUAAAGAAAUGUUGCAGCCAUGCUAAUCAUUUGAUUCCCCAAACCAUUAGCAGGUGUCCAGAUAAGGUACUUACACAAUGUAGCUGCAGCACCUUUGUUCUUUGAGCGUACAAUCUUUCUCAUGCUUCUGUCGUAAGCUCUACUAUUAGGUCCGCACCUUCUGUGAAUAUCUUCAUAGUUACGUAGUUUAGAUAUCAAAUAUGGAGAAGGUUUAUGAGGAGAAGCUUUGCGGUACAAUUGGGACUGCAUCCUACUUAUGCAUGAUGCUUCAUCAAAUCCAGUGGUUAAAAGUCCAC
This 9239-nucleotide long non-coding RNA is filed under the name Glycine max (soybean). Its description in RNAcentral is "long non-coding RNA (GMAX_LNC001395)". The record is from RNAcentral. Lineage: Eukaryota; Viridiplantae; Streptophyta; Magnoliopsida; Fabales; Fabaceae.